CCUACGGGUGGCAGCAGUGGGGGAUAUUGCACAAUGGGGGGAACCCUGAUGCAGCGACGCCGCGUGGGUGAAGGAGUGCUUCGGCAUGUAAAGCCCUAUCGGCAGGGAAGAAGAAAGAAGGUACCUGACUAAGAAGCCCCGGCUAACUACGAGCCAGCAGCCGCGGUAAUACGUAGGGGGCGAGCGUUAUCCGGAUUCACUGGGUGGAAAGGGAGCGUAGAGGGCAAUGCAAGCCAGGGGUGAAAGCCCGGGGCCCAACCCAGGGACUGCCGUUGGAACUGUGCGGCUAGAGUGCGGGAGGGGCAGGCGGAAUUCCUGGUGUAGCGGUGAAAUGCAUAGAUAUCAGGAGGAACCCCGACGGCGAAGGCGGCCUGCUGGACCGCGACUGACGUUGAGGCUCGAAAGCGUGGGGAGCGAACAGGAUUAGAUACCCGUGUAGUC
Molecule: ribosomal RNA, 441 nt
Filed under: uncultured bacterium
Lineage: Bacteria
Description: partial 16S ribosomal RNA
Rfam family: Bacterial small subunit ribosomal RNA
Source: RNAcentral